UCAUGUUCGGUUCUUGGAUAGUUGUAGAAUAAGGGCACGUUGUAUAAUUUAUUCACAUGUUCUAAUAUCAGUAGAUAUUUAUUAAUCUUAUUCUCUAAAAUGGAAAAUCUUAAUCAUAUCGUCUAUACAUGAUACAUGUUAUAACACGUGCACGGAUUAUACCACGUAAUUAUAUUCUAGUAUUGUACAAUAAUUUCCAUAGUCUGAUUGAAAUAAUGUUUCGAUUAUUGAUUGUACAGGACCUUAU
This 247-nucleotide long non-coding RNA is filed under the name Prunus persica (peach). RNAcentral's name for it is "long non-coding RNA (PPER_LNC003574)". The record is from RNAcentral. Lineage: Eukaryota; Viridiplantae; Streptophyta; Magnoliopsida; Rosales; Rosaceae.